RNAcentral lists this unclassified non-coding RNA (226 nucleotides) under Hevea brasiliensis (rubber tree). The record is from RNAcentral. Lineage: Eukaryota; Viridiplantae; Streptophyta; Magnoliopsida; Malpighiales; Euphorbiaceae.
CAAGGGCCAGGUAUCAUCCUUGUCCACAGAAAGUUGCUCCAAUUCUAAUAUAAAUCCUAUAAUCAGUUCUAUGGUUUCCGAGGCUACUCCCAUACUCUCUGUCAAGUGGAACAUACUAAUACAAUCCUUUUGAAAUUCCAUAGAAAAGACGGAAAGUAGAUCAUGUUUCACUAAGUGGAUGCCGGAUAGAAUUUCAACAAUGCAUUUUCUCAAAUCUUGUAAGUAG